CCUACGGGAGGCAGCAGUGGGGAAUAUUGGACAAUGGGCGAAAGCCUGAUCCAGCAAUGCCGCGUGAGUGAUGAAGGCCUUAGGGUCGUAAAGCUCUUUUACCAGGGAUGAUAAUGACAGUACCUGGAGAAUAAGCUCCGGCUAACUCCGUGCCAGCAGCCGCGGUAAUACGGAGGGAGCUAGCGUUGUUCGGAAUUACUGGGCGUAAAGCGUGCGUAGGCGGUUAUUCAAGUCAGAGGUGAAAGCCCGGGGCUCAACCCCGGAACGGCCUUUGAAACUAGAUAACUAGAAUCUUGGAGAGGUCAGUGGAAUUCCGAGUGUAGAGGUGAAAUUCGUAGAUAUUCGGAAGAACACCAGUGGCGAAGGCGACUGACUGGACAAGUAUUGACGCUGAGGUACGAAAGCGUGGGGAGCAAACAGGAUUAGAUACCCUGGUAGUCCACGCCGUAAACGAUGAUAACUAGCUGUCCGGACACUUGGUGUUUGGGUGGCGCAGCUAACGCAUUAAGUUAUCCGCCUGGGGAGUACGGUCGCAAGNUUAAAACUUAAAGGAAUUGACGG
This 561-nucleotide ribosomal RNA is filed under the name uncultured bacterium. Its description in RNAcentral is "bacterial SSU rRNA". It matches the Rfam family "Bacterial small subunit ribosomal RNA", at positions 338 to 916 of the family's 1533-position model. The record is from RNAcentral.